This 250-nucleotide ribosomal RNA is filed under the name uncultured bacterium. RNAcentral's name for it is "partial 16S ribosomal RNA". It matches the Rfam family "Bacterial small subunit ribosomal RNA", at positions 524 to 773 of the family's 1533-position model. The record is from RNAcentral.
AACGUAGGAGGCAAGCGUUAUCCGGAUUUACUGGGCGUAAAGCGUGUGCAGGCGGUUUGGUAAGUUGGAUGUGAAAGCUCCUGGCUCAACUGGGAGAGGUCGUUCAAUACUACCAGACUUGAGAGUGGUAGAGGGAGGUGGAAUUCCCGGUGUAGUGGUGAAAUGCGUAGAUAUCGGGAGGAACACCAGUGGCGAAAGCGGCCUCCUGGACCAUUUCUGACGCUCAGACACGAAAGCUAGGGGAGCAAAC